Molecule: long non-coding RNA, 889 nt
Organism: Lathyrus oleraceus (garden pea)
Lineage: Eukaryota; Viridiplantae; Streptophyta; Magnoliopsida; Fabales; Fabaceae
Exons: 5
Source: RefSeq, a predicted model, not a curated record
GAAUCCCUAAGUACAAUUUAUCAUUACCGCCUAAAAUAUAACCAUGACUUCUCAUGUUCCAAAUUUUCUUUUCAUUUCACAUUUUAGAAACUUUUCAUCAUCGAUGAAGUGCAAGAAAUAGUGAAAAAGGAACAAAGAACGUGAUUGCUCGGAAAUCUUCACAACCCACAACGGCUUCAUCAUUCUUCUUUACCGUUUUCUAUACUCUCUUUUACGCUGCUUUGGAUAUUAAAGUUGAUUCAUUCGUUGUUGUUCUUACUUUUCUUCAGUAAAGGUAAUCGCUUCAGUAAACUCACGCUUCAGCUUCAGUUUUCUCUCAAACUCUUGCUUCCAGAAAUCCCUAAGAAAUCACUCCCCAAAAUCGCUUCUAGAAAUUGCUUUUCAUCGUUUCUCAUUAAAGAGUUUAAGAAAUGCUUCUUCUUCUCAUCGCUUCAAGGGUUCGAUUGACAUUCUCUUCAUCAAAGAAAUCUAUUUUUAGUUCACAAUUUUCUCUUCUCUCGUAUUUGUACCUUUUAUUUCAUGAAAUAGUGGCUCGACCAACUUUGUGGUUGUUUGGUGAUCAAAAAGUUAGAGUGUUCUAUGCUGUGAGAUUUUUUGUUGGUUUUCUCUCGCUUUCCACGUAGACUGUUCUUGUGGUAGCUCUUUCGAGAAAGUAUGGAAAACGACUUGCUUCUUAUACACUUGCUAUGCCGUGCUUAACCAACGACUAUUUCUUUGCUAGCACAAGUUUCUUGUCAAGUUCGUUUCCCAUGUAUGCAAUCUCUCUUGCUUCGGGUUUAUUUCUUCUUGAUAAACAUGCUGCAGCAGUUGUUGUCUCUGCUAUUGGUGUGAUACAUGGCUGGCCAUUCUCAAUCUUGGCUUUCCUUCCGGUGACACUUCAUUCUUUAUA